RNAcentral lists this long non-coding RNA (1982 nucleotides) under Lathyrus oleraceus (garden pea). RNAcentral describes it as "Pisum sativum (pea) long non-coding RNA (PSAT_LNC003129)". The record is from RNAcentral. Lineage: Eukaryota; Viridiplantae; Streptophyta; Magnoliopsida; Fabales; Fabaceae.
UUUCUUCUUCAAAUUUCAUUGCAUGCAUAUGACUUGAAGUAGAUUGAAAUUGACUAUGAACAUGACUUAGAUUUGUAAAUGGCAUGACUUAGAUUUGUAAAUGGAAUGAGCAUAUUAACAUGGUUUAUGAACAUAGCUAUGACUUGGUGAAACAAGGCUAAGGUCAAGAUACAAUAGGCUUGAUUGUUUGGAUAGACAAGGCCAAGGCUAAGGUCAAGAUACAAUAGGCUUGAUUGUUUGGAUAGACAAGGCCAUGAAUGCACCAACAAUCCAUGGACAAAACAAAAUAUUGAGACCAAGAUUGAUUAGACUUAUAAGAAUAACAAAAAUAUAUUUUUUUUUGUUAGUUGAUAAGUAUCAUUAACUUUAUUAAAUAUUUUUUUUUUAUUUUGGAAAUUCAUAAUGUUGAAUAAAUUGUUAUAAGUUGAUAAGCAUAAAAUAAUUUCAAAAUUUUGCAAGUGACUUAUUAAAACAAUUCAAUUAGUAAAAACAAUAAAUUAUUAAAAUUAUUAAAAGAGGUUCUUUAGUAUAUUUAUAUUUCCACAACCACAACAAUAAAGUGUGUUAUUCAAAAUAACUUAUAUUUUGCUUUGUGAUCAAAAUUAAAAAUUAAUGUCAAAACUUUUGUUUUUCUUCUUCUCUUCAUUUCUCUCUAUAAUUAAUUUUAUUUCAUUAUUACAGUGUUUUCUUCUCUUCAUUUCUCUUUAUAAUUAAUUUUAUUUCAUUAUUAUAGUGUUGGGAGUCUUCCGUUUCAAAUAAUAAUAUUUUAACCUAAUUAUUUAUCAUGUCAAUAUAAAUUUUUUAUUUUAUUUGUCAUAUUCUCUUUACUACUUACACUAUCAAAUGAAUCAUUUUAUAUUUUAUUAAUUUGAGAUUUUAAAUAUUUAUUACAUUUUAAAUUUGAUUUUUAAUCAAUUUAGAAAUCUAGAUUUCAAACUUUUUUAUAAAUAUUUAGAAUUUAAAAUUGAUUUAAAAUAAAAUUUAACAUUGAUUAAAUCUAGAUUUCAUUCUUUUUUUAUAAAUAUUUAGAUUUUAAAAAUGAUUUAAAAUAAAAUUUAAAAUUGAUUAAAUCAAUAAAAUCUUAAAUUGAUUUUUAAAAUAAAAAACAAAUUUUGAAAUAGAUGAUAUUGGUUUAAAAUUAAAAUUAAAAUUUUAUUAAAACAAAACUAUUUCAAUUUUUUUUAAAAUAAAAUAUAUCAAAUUUCAUAUUAAUUUAAAAUAAAAAUAGAAUUUCAAAUUUCCGUUAGGAAAAUAUUUUUUUGUAAAGAUGAUUCAAAACGUAACUUUGUCUCAUAUUUAGAGAGACUUCAACUUAGCGUUGUUAGACAAAUGGACGUGGAAACUAAUAAGCGAAACGAAGAAGUGACGGCUUGGAAGCAAUUGAGAACCAUAUCAGUGUUUGAAUCCACUGUGUGCGACUGUUAAAUAGGAGAAACGCUUCAAAAGUAAAAUGAAAAUGAAAAAGAAAAACAAAAAAUGUUGCAGUACUAAAGGGCCUGAAAGAUCAGAUUGAAAUCAAAAUCAGACGAGUGAGCCUGCAUCGAAAUUGAUAUUCGCAAGUAUAUAAAUAUAAUUGAUUGAACCGUAGAAUCAACAGAGUUCAAUCAAGAAGCUGACUUGCGAUUCAAAUGAAAAAUUUUGUGAAAUUUCAGAAAGAAAGAAAGAAAAAUAUGAGAAAAUAAUCAAUCAUAGAAGAAUGCGUAUAUAGAUGCUAUAUCAAUGAAAAUUGAAUUAAAAACUUCGAAAUUAAAAACAGAAAAAAUAAAAGGAACACGAGAUUGGUAUUUUCAGAGAGAAUAGCAUGUGGUGCUUAUAAAGGGAAUGAAGGAAGCCGUUAGGGUUUUUGUUCACACAAUCUGUGUAACCAGAGAUAUGGAUCGGGUCUUCCUGGAUCUACUAGGUAAUUAACCCAGGCCCAUUUUUUAGCCCAAUUUUGUUUUAGGAAAAUUGUGUUUUAAACUAUUUUCAAAAGUGGACAUUCA